GACGAACGCUGGCGGCGUGCUUAACACAUGCAAGUCGAACGGAAAGGCCCUGCUUUUGUGGGGUGCUCGAGUGGCGAACGGGUGAGUAACACGUGAGUAACCUGCCCUUGACUUUGGGAUAACUUCAGGAAAAUGGGGCUAAUACCGGAUAGGAGCUCCUGCUGCAUGGGGGGGGUUGGAAAGUUUCGGCGGUUGGGGAUGGACUCGCGGCUUAUCAGCUUGUUGGUGGGGUAGUGGCUUACCAAGGCUUUGACGGGUAGCCGGCCUGAGAGGGUGACCGGCCACAUUGGGACUGAGAUACGGCCCAGACUCCUACGGGAGGCAGCAGUGGGGAAUAUUGCACAAUGGGCGGAAGCCUGAUGCAGCAACGCCGCGUGCGGGAUGACGGCCUUCGGGUUGUAAACCGCUUUCGCCUGUGACGAAGCGUGAGUGACGGUAAUGGGUAAAGAAGCACCGGCUAACUACGUG
This 468-nucleotide ribosomal RNA is filed under the name uncultured bacterium. RNAcentral's name for it is "partial 16S ribosomal RNA". It matches the Rfam family "Bacterial small subunit ribosomal RNA", at positions 28 to 507 of the family's 1533-position model. The record is from RNAcentral.